Molecule: ribosomal RNA, 279 nt
Filed under: uncultured bacterium
Lineage: Bacteria
Description: partial 16S ribosomal RNA
Rfam family: Bacterial small subunit ribosomal RNA
Source: RNAcentral
UGCCAGCCGCCGCGGUAAUACGAAGGGGGCUAGCGUUGUUCGGAAUUACUGGGCGUAAAGAGUUCGUAGGCGGGCUAUUAAGUCAGAUGUGAAAUCCCAGGGCUCAACCUUGGAACUGCAUUUGAAACUGGUAACCUAGAGACUAGGAGAGGUCAGUGGAAUACCGAGUGGAGAGGUGAAAUUCGCAGGUAUUCGGUGGAACACCAGUGGCGAAGGCGACUGACUGGACUAGUACUGACGCUGAGGAACGAAAGUGUGGGGAGCAAACAGGAUUAGAUA